CAAGAGGCGAACCAGGGGAACUGAAACAUCUAAGUACCCUGAGGAAAAGAAAUCAACCGAGAUUCCCUUAGUAGUGGCGAGCGAACGGGGAUUAGCCCUUAAGCUUCAUUGAUUUUAGCGGAACGCUCUGGAAAGUGCGGCCAUAGUGGGUGAUAGCCCCGUACGCGAAAGGAUCUUUGAAGUGAAAUCGAGUAGGACGGAGCACGAGAAACUUUGUCUGAACAUGGGGGGACCAUCCUCCAAGGCUAAAUACUACUGACUGACCGAUAGUGAACCAGUACCGUGAGGGAAAGGCGAAAAGAACCCCGGAGAGGGGAGUGAAAUAGAACCUGAAACCGUAUGCGUACAAGCAGUGGGAGCCUACUUGUUAGGUGACUGCGUACCUUUUGUAUAAUGGGUCAGCGACUUAUAUUCAGUGGCAAGCUUAACCGUAUAGGGUAGGCGUAGCGAAAGCGAGUCUUAAUAGGGCGUUUAGUCGCUGGGUAUAGACCCGAAACCGGGCGAUCUAUCCAUGAGCAGGUUGAAGGUUAGGUAACACUGACUGGAGGACCGAACCCACUCCCGUUGAAAAGGUAGGGGAUGACUUGUGGAUCGGAGUGAAAGGCUAAUCAAGCUCGGAGAUAGCUGGUUCUCCUCGAAAGCUAUUUAGGUAGCGCCUCAUGUAUCACUCUGGGGGGUAGAGCACUGUUUCGGCUAGGGGGUCAUCCCGACUUACCAAACCGAUGCAAACUCCGAAUACCCAGAAGUGCCGAGCAUGGGAGACACACGGCGGGUGCUAACGUCCGUCGUGAAAAGGGAAACAACCCAGACCGCCAGCUAAGGUCCCAAAGUUGUGGUUAAGUGGUAAACGAUGUGGGAAGGCUUAGACAGCUAGGAGGUUGGCUUAGAAGCAGCCACCCUUUAAAGAAAGCGUAAUAGCUCACUAGUCGAGUCGGCCUGCGCGGAAGAUGUAACGGGGCUCAAACCACACACCGAAGCUGCGGGUGUCACGUAAGUGACGCGGUAGAGGAGCGUUCUGUAAGCCUGUGAAGGUGAGUUGAGAAGCUUGCUGGAGGUAUCAGAAGUGCGA
RNAcentral lists this ribosomal RNA (1069 nucleotides) under Pseudomonas aeruginosa. RNAcentral describes it as "partial 23S ribosomal RNA". It matches the Rfam family "Bacterial large subunit ribosomal RNA", at positions 173 to 1293 of the family's 2925-position model. Lineage: Bacteria; Pseudomonadati; Pseudomonadota; Gammaproteobacteria; Pseudomonadales; Pseudomonadaceae. The record is from RNAcentral.